This 369-nucleotide ribosomal RNA is filed under the name uncultured bacterium. RNAcentral's name for it is "bacterial SSU rRNA". It matches the Rfam family "Bacterial small subunit ribosomal RNA", at positions 30 to 408 of the family's 1533-position model. The record is from RNAcentral.
UCUGAACGCUGGCGGCGUGGCUAAGACAUGCAAGUCGUACGGUGUAGCAAUACACAGUGGCGGACGGGUGAGUAAUGAAUCGCUAAUGUACCCCGAUGUCUGGGAUAGCCAUCCGAAAGGAUGGGUAAUACCAGAUGAGACCACAGGGCCGCAUGGUCCGGUGCUCAAAGGGUCACCGCAUUGGGAGCAGGCGAUUUCGUAUCAGGUAGUUGGUGAGGAACGGCUCACCAAGCCGACGACGCGUAGCCGGGCUGAGAGGUCGGCCGGCCACAUUGGGACUGAGACACUGCCCAGACUCCUACGGGGGGCUGCAGUAACGAAUCUUCCGCAAUGCACGAAAGUAGUGACGGAGCGACGCCGCGUGCAGGA